AGAGAGAGAGAGAGAGAGAGAGAGUGAGGUGAGGGAGCGAGAGGUUGAGAGGAACCCACCUCAUUUUCUCGCUUUCUAAGAAAAAAGAAGAAGAAGAAGAAGAAGAAGAAGAUGGAAGGAUGAUGAUGAUGAUUAUGAGUCAACAAAUAACAACGCAAAGGAAAACACACAACAAAGAAAGAAAGAUGCAAAUAUACAUAUAGAUACGGAGAGGGAGAGCGUGUCUCUCUGUGAUUGUGUGUGUGUGUGUGUGUGUGUGUGUG
RNAcentral lists this unclassified non-coding RNA (263 nucleotides) under Hevea brasiliensis (rubber tree). The record is from RNAcentral. Lineage: Eukaryota; Viridiplantae; Streptophyta; Magnoliopsida; Malpighiales; Euphorbiaceae.